CCUACGGGAGGCUGCAGUGAGGAAUAUUGGUCAAUGGACGAGAGUCUGAACCAGCCAAGUAGCGUGAAGGAUGACUGCCCUAUGGGUUGUAAACUUCUUUUAUAUGGGAAUAAAAUGUUCCACGUGUGGGAUUUUGUAUGUACCAUAUGAAUAAGGAUCGGCUAACUCCGUGCCAGCAGCCGCGGUAAUACGGAGGAUCCGAGCGUUAUCCGGAUUUAUUGGGUUUAAAGGGAGCGUAGGUGGAUUGUUAAGUCAGUUGUGAAAGUUUGCGGCUCAACCGUAAAAUUGCAGUUGAAACUGGCAGUCGUGAGUACAGUAGAGGUGGGCGGAAUUCGUGGUGUAGCGGUGAAAUGCUUAGAUAUCACGAAGAAUUCCGAUUGCGAAGGCAGCUCACUGGACUGCAACUGACACUGAGGCUCGAAAGUGUGGGUAUCAAACAGGAUUAGAUACCCCUGUAGUC
Molecule: ribosomal RNA, 460 nt
Filed under: uncultured bacterium
Lineage: Bacteria
Description: partial 16S ribosomal RNA
Rfam family: Bacterial small subunit ribosomal RNA
Source: RNAcentral